RNAcentral lists this ribosomal RNA (450 nucleotides) under uncultured bacterium. RNAcentral's name for it is "partial 16S ribosomal RNA". It matches the Rfam family "Bacterial small subunit ribosomal RNA", at positions 354 to 796 of the family's 1533-position model. The record is from RNAcentral.
GUGGGGAAUCUUCCGCAAUGGACGAAAGUCUGACGGAGCGACGCCGCGUGAGUGAAGAAGGCCUUCGGGUCGUAAAGCUCUGUCAUCAGGGACGAACGGCCGGUGGAGUGGAAAGCCACCGGAUUGACGGUACCUGAGAAGGAAGCCACGGCUAACUACGUGCCAGCAGCCGCGGUAAUACGUAGGUGGCAAGCGUUGUCCGGAAUUAUUGGGCGUAAAGCGCGCGCAGGUGGGAUCUUAAGUCCAUUUUGAAAGUUCGGAGCUCAACUCCGUGAUGGGAUGGAAACUGGGAUUCUUGAGUACCGGAGAGGAAAGCGGAAUUCCCCGUGUAGCGGUGAAAUGCGUAGAUAUGGGGAGGAACACCAGUGGCGAAGGCGGCUUUCUGGACGGUGUCUGACACUGAGGCGCGAAAGCCAGGGGAGCGAACGGGAUUAGAUACCCUAGUAGUCC